AAUAAUAAGUUCAUACAACCCCAAGAAUAUAAAAUCAAAUACAAAACCCUUAUCCCUUUGUUAGGGCUGCAUCCAGCCCUAGAGAGGAGAUCAGCCUUUCAUGGAGUGGUGGACGGCAGCAGUAGCACAGCAACGGGCUUCCAUCACGAUCGGCAUCCUUUUUCCUCCUUCCUUCCUCUCCUGAUUCUUUUUUUAUUUUUCUGGUAUUCCCUCCUGAGAAGAGAUGAUGGGAGAAAGGGGGCAGUCCCCUCCCCUGGUGGGGAAGAGGA
This 269-nucleotide long non-coding RNA is filed under the name Phoenix dactylifera (date palm). RNAcentral's name for it is "long non-coding RNA (PDAC_LNC007498)". The record is from RNAcentral. Lineage: Eukaryota; Viridiplantae; Streptophyta; Magnoliopsida; Arecales; Arecaceae.